Molecule: microRNA precursor, 112 nt
Filed under: Gorilla gorilla gorilla (western lowland gorilla)
Lineage: Eukaryota; Metazoa; Chordata; Mammalia; Primates; Hominidae
Description: miRNA (ENSGGOG00000040436.1)
Source: RNAcentral
GCCGGGUGGGGCGGGGCGGCCUCAGCAGGGGCCCAGCUCCCCUGGAUGUGCCAUGGUGGGGCCGGAGGGGCGUCACUGCACCCAAGUGACGCCCCUUCUGAUUCUGCCUCAG